Molecule: ribosomal RNA, 748 nt
Filed under: Culex environmental sample
Lineage: Eukaryota; Metazoa; Arthropoda; Insecta; Diptera; Culicidae
Description: LSU rRNA
Rfam family: Eukaryotic large subunit ribosomal RNA
Source: RNAcentral
GACCCGUCUUGAAACACGGACCAGAAGUCUAUCUUGCGCGCGAGCCAAUGGUCGUCUCCGGAACACCAAAGGCGCAAAGACAUACUCAGUUGUGCGUGAUCACGGGCGCAGCUCUCUGCAGCGUGCCUCCAUCCCCGGGUGUAGUAAACGGCAUUCGGUGGUGGUACUCGAGCCUCCAUCGUGCCACAACAUACCGUGAGUGUGCAGGAUGUGACCCGAAAGAUGGUGAACUAUGCCUGAUCAGGUUGAAGUCAGAGGAAGCCCUGAUGCAGGACCGAAGCAGUUCUGACGUGCAAAUCGAUUGUCAGAAUUGGGUAUAGGGUCGAAAGACCAAUCUGAACCAUCUAGUAGCUGGUUCCCUCCGAAGUUUCCCUCAGGAUAGCUGGAGCACGCAACGUUUCGAACUCUAUUCUUAUCUGGUAAAGCGAAUGAUUAGAGGCCUUAGGUUCGAAAUGAUCUUAACCUAUUCUCAAACUAUAAAUGGGUACGUACCAUAACAUUCUUGCAUGAUGUUAUUGCAGCGCGGACGCCGGCCCGCCCCCUGUUAGGGCGUUGGCCACUGGCGUAGAAGAUAUCUGUGUGCUUAGUGGGCCAAGUUUUGGUAAGCAGAACUGGUGCUGUGGGAUGAACCAAACGUAAUGUUACGGCGCCUAAAUAAACGACGCAUCAUAGAUACCAUGAAAGGUGUUGAUUGCUACAGACAGCAGGACGGUCGACAUGGAAGUCGGCAUUCCGCUAAGGAGUGUGU